UGGUAAUUGCUUCCAAUUCUAUUAAAAGAAAAGACAAAUAGCAGCCAAAACCAAUAUGAAACAGCCACUUCUAAUAUUUUAAGCAUCUUAAUUCGCCCAGAAUCAAUUAAGCAGAAACCUGAGCGUUUAGGACACAUGCCCUAAGAAGUUCUACACAGUGAAGGAAAAUAUUGAAUUGCGUGCAACUCGCAACUUACAUGCUUAAUUAGCUUAAGAGGAAAAGACAUGCUUAAUUAGCUUAAGAGAAAAAGACAAGCUAGUGCAGCUGAGAAUUGUCUCUGUGAAACUUUUCAAUGUAAUCAGAAGCUUUCCUGUUGAUGCUAGGCUCGACCACGGUCCAAGGUAGUCCGUCUUCAUAAUAGUCAUCCUUUGGAACUUGUUGCUCCUCAGUUGCAUCUCCUGAUGAUCUCCACCUUUUGGAGAUGUUGAAGAAUAAGUCGAAUAAACUGAAACAGCAGCACCACGACUUUCUACCGCUAGCACCGCGUCUCCUCCAGCUGCCUCCCAUAUAGUUUUAGUGGCUUAAUUUUAAAAUGAAGCUUGCGUUAGCUGUAUAUAUACAUAUAGCUGGUAGCAAGAGAAUCGAAUCUACGAGAUUCCAAACAAGGCGAACGGAAUGGACUUGGGAUGGGAAGGCCGAAGCCCAAGGCCGUGGCUCUUGAAAAGUUCAUCCGUAUCCAAUAGGAAUUUAGGUAGGACGGAUUGGGCUUGCCCAUAAGCCUCACCUCACCUACCUCGCGGGCAGCUGCUACCUACCUCCAACCUCUUUACCUUUCCAUUUCAGUGCAACGACUUUCAAUUUUUAAUCAAAAUAUACAAUCAUAGUCUGAACUUCUAUUCCUGUUCACAACUUUUCUUUGGGUCUCGAAAUUAUUGCCACUGCAAGAAGAUCAAAGAUGUUCCUGAAAUCAUUUGUCUGAUAUACAAAAGACGAGACGUUUUUGGUGUUAUUAUCAAAAAUUUCUCAUCGAUUCAUGGAGUCCAAGACGGGAAGUUUGGACGCCCCGCUGCAAGCGAUUGGCUUCGAAGUUGAAGAAUUGUCCCCCCAGAAGGUCACUGGUCGCCUUCUUGUUACCAACAAGUGCGUUCAGCCAUUCAAGGUGUUGCACGGCGGAGUAUCGGCUCUGAUAUCGGAGGCUUUGGCCAGCAUGGGGGCCCAUAUGGCAUCCGGAUUUCGAAGGGUAGCUGGGAUUCACCUUAGCAUCAGCCAUCUGAAGCGCGCCGAGCUUGGCGACCUUAUCCUCGCCGAAGCUGCUCCUCUCAGUGUUGGCAAAACCAUUCAGGUAACUCGCACUUUUUUAUUCCCAUAAAAUUACCAUUAUCUUGCAUAUGCUUUUAUCAUCAAAUCAGAACAUGCAGUCAACUAUGCUUGGCUUUUAUAUUAUUUAUUUAUUUAUGCCAUCGAUCGUCUAUAUCCACAGAUCGUAGGACACCCAAUCAUCAAUCCUUAUCUGGAUAAGGACCAUACGUUUUAAAUUGCGAUUUAUCGCUUAUCAAGAAUAGCAGUGACAGACCAUGAUUACAUGAAAAUUCAAUGACCGAAUGUUUAAUGUAUUAUUAUUUAUCAUCCUCCACCAGGGAGGCAUUAUAUCAUCUGCUGGAUUUUACUUGACGAUUCGUAUUUUUUAGCUCUUUAAGCUCAUGUGCAAUGACGGAGCGAAGGGCUAGGCCAUAUCCUCCUAACUUUAUGAAAAUUAUAGUUUUAGUAUAGUGUUAUAGAUUUAAAAUUAAAAUGGUCUCUCUAAUUUUGUGAUAAAUAUGUUUUUAGUAUAUUGUUAUGGAUUUAAAAUUAAAUCAUCUCCCUAAAUUAAAAAAUUUUUAUAUUUUAUUGAUCUACUUAUUUAAAUUUAGAACGUCUUGACUUACAAUAUUAAGUUUAUGUUGUUUAUUUUGAUGUUUAACAUAUCACGUGUAUUUUUAUGGACAAAAACAAUUAUAAACAUAGAUAUAUAUUAAAUGUUACUUGGUCCCUUAAAAAUAAAUCCCGGCUCUGCUUAGCUUAUGUGACCGACAAGGUUUGAACUUAUUUUAUAUUCUAAACAGGUAUGGGAGGUGCAACUCUGGAAGGUUGACCCUUCAAAUACUGAGAGUAAAUCUCUAGUUUCAUCAUCCAGGGUUACUCUUCUAUGCAAUAUGCCUGUUCCCGAGCAUGCAAAAGAUGCUGCAGACAACCUCAAAAAGUAUGCAAAACUAUGAAACUCUUCUACUGUACUAUGACUUUUGGCCAAUGUAAUUAAUAAACUUAAACAAUAUAUUGCAGAUGAUACAUUCCAGAAUUAUGCCCAUGGUCUAUAAAAAAUCUGACUCAUUUCACAAAUGAAACUAGCAAGUGAAUUACUAAUUCCUAUAUGGUGUUUGCCUUGCGAUGCUUAGAUAAAGUUAAAUUAUAACCUGUCAAAUAGAAUAUACAUUUUCAUGUUGAUAUGAUUAUGAACUUCUCUGCAACAUAGUAUGGCUCUUGCAAAGCUCAUCAAACAGCGACGCUGUUUUUAGCAACCUUUGUACUUUUGCCAUUAAACUUAAUUACCUAGUUCCAUUGGACAAUAAUUAACUGUGAAUUUUCUAACUGGUGUUGCAAAAGCACUAUUUGCAAGUAUGAAGGCAGUGAUAAAAACAUAAACUGCCCCUGCUAAUAGCUAAGCACACUCGGGAGUUUUGUCCUCCAACUUGAAGUAAUAGUGGCUUCUCUUCCCUAGUCAUUAGGCAAUUGUGCUGUGAAAGAGGGCUCAUAAUAACCACGUCUAACCACCAGCUACGUCACAAUGGUUGAAAUGGAUUACAGACUUGAAAUGAACUAUGAAGAAAGUGAAAACUGUAUUGAAGAUUAUGAUUUCUCCAAUUACAACAACAAGAAGAGUCUCCAAUUACAACAACAAGAAGAG
RNAcentral lists this unclassified non-coding RNA (2882 nucleotides) under Hevea brasiliensis (rubber tree). Lineage: Eukaryota; Viridiplantae; Streptophyta; Magnoliopsida; Malpighiales; Euphorbiaceae. The record is from RNAcentral.